RNAcentral lists this unclassified non-coding RNA (335 nucleotides) under air metagenome. RNAcentral describes it as "partial contains small subunit ribosomal RNA, internal transcribed spacer 1, and 5.8S ribosomal RNA". The stretch from base 1 to 46 matches the Rfam family "Eukaryotic small subunit ribosomal RNA", at positions 1786 to 1831 of the family's 1831-position model. The record is from RNAcentral.
AAGUCGUAACAAGGUUUCCGUAGGUGAACCUGCGGAAGGAUCAUUAUUGAAUAUACUUGAUGGGUUGUAGCUGGCUCUACGGGGCAUGUGCACGCUUGUCUUGAUUUUAUUCAUCCACCUGUGCACCUUUUGUAGUCUUGGGGACUAAGAGCAAGUUGACUAUCGGAUUUGUUUCCGGAUGUGAGAAAUGCUGGUAUACAGCUCUUCUCUAUUGACUUUCUCCCUCAAGUGCUAUGUAUUCAUAUACCACAUAGUAUGUUGUAGAAUGUUGAUCAAUGGGUCUAUGUACCUAUAAUAAUCAUAUACAACUUUCAGCAACGGAUCUCUUGGCUCUC